RNAcentral lists this microRNA (20 nucleotides) under Populus trichocarpa (black cottonwood). RNAcentral's name for it is "ptc-miR169n-3p". Its record names the gene ptc-miR169n-3p. Lineage: Eukaryota; Viridiplantae; Streptophyta; Magnoliopsida; Malpighiales; Salicaceae. The record is from miRBase by way of RNAcentral.
GCAAGCAUCCUUGGUUCUCC